AUAUAUAAUCAACCCUCUUGUUUGAGUGGCUUGGAUGUGGGGGCUUGCUGGCCUCUUAAAAGGUUCAGCUCCCCUGAAAUGCAUUAGUGGAACGACCUGUUCAUUCAUUGGUGUGAUAACUAUCUACGCUAUUGAACGUGAGGCAGUUCAGCUUUCUAACUGUCCUUGGACAAUUCAUUGUUGU
Molecule: unclassified non-coding RNA, 184 nt
Filed under: Cortinarius panellus
Lineage: Eukaryota; Fungi; Basidiomycota; Agaricomycetes; Agaricales; Cortinariaceae
Also listed under: 1 other name
Description: partial internal transcribed spacer 2
Source: RNAcentral